Molecule: transfer RNA, 84 nt
Filed under: Gemmatimonadaceae bacterium
Lineage: Bacteria; Pseudomonadati; Gemmatimonadota; Gemmatimonadia; Gemmatimonadales; Gemmatimonadaceae
Description: tRNA-Leu
Rfam family: tRNA
About the family: Transfer RNA (tRNA) molecules are approximately 80 nucleotides in length.
Source: RNAcentral
GCCCGGGUGGCGAAAAGGUGAGACGCGGGGGACUUAAAAUCCCCUGACCGCAAGGUCGUGUGGGUUCGAUUCCCACCCCGGGCA